This 73-nucleotide transfer RNA is filed under the name Candidatus Woesearchaeota archaeon CG08_land_8_20_14_0_20_47_9. RNAcentral's name for it is "tRNA-Gln". It matches the Rfam family "tRNA". Rfam says of the family: Transfer RNA (tRNA) molecules are approximately 80 nucleotides in length. Their secondary structure includes four short double-helical elements and three loops (D, anti-codon, and T loops). Lineage: Archaea; Nanobdellati; Candidatus Woesearchaeota. The record is from RNAcentral.
AGCCCCGUGGUGUAGCGGCCAAUCAUGCAAGGCUCUGGACCUUGCGACCACGGUUCGAAUCCGUGCGGGGCUA